This is a non-coding RNA of Paramuricea clavata, 640 nucleotides long. Lineage: Eukaryota; Metazoa; Cnidaria; Anthozoa; Malacalcyonacea; Plexauridae. The record is from the annotation of a GenBank genome assembly.
GUCCAAACUUGGUCAGAUAGUAGAACUAGUCUAAUGCUUUCAUGGAAACCAAUAGGUAUUCUGUAACCUUAACAUUUACUCAUUAAAUAUCAUUAAUUUAUUUUAAAUGUUGAAGAAGACGAAUGUUCUCAUCGAGACGUUUCACAAGCUGUAUAAAGCAUUCGCACGCGUGUUGUAUAUCAGACAUACAACCUCUCGUCUUCGGCUCGGGUUUGUAUAUCUGAUACAACAUGGCUGAUCAUGCCUUAUCUAUUACUUUAUCUAUUAAAGUGCGACUAACCCCAAAUAUAAUUUUGGUAUGUGUAAUAUUUGGGUCAUUCUGAGAAGAAAUGUAAUGUAUCUCUAUAGUAAAAAAUCCCAUCUUGAUCAACUUUUUCACUGUCAAAGUUCUAGAUAUGAUGUCAUUAAGUGAAUUUUUGCUACAAAAAACAAAGGAAAACCAAUUUGCAAUUCACCUAAUUACAUCAUAUCCGGAAACUCGGACAGUGAGAAAGUUGUUGAUCAAGAUGGGGUUUUUUAUUAUAAAGAUUUACUACAUUUCUUCUUCCGAUGACCCAAAUACUACACAACCAAAAAUCAUAUUGGUCGUACUUUAAAUGAGGCACGAGCCAUAUGUGAAAAUUGAAAAAUAUCAGGUAUC